Macaca fascicularis (crab-eating macaque) is the source of this 117-nucleotide unclassified non-coding RNA. It matches the Rfam family "Metazoan signal recognition particle RNA". Rfam says of the family: The signal recognition particle (SRP) is a universally conserved ribonucleoprotein. It is involved in the co-translational targeting of proteins to membranes. The eukaryotic SRP consists of a 300-nucleotide 7S RNA and six proteins: SRPs 72, 68, 54, 19, 14, and 9. The record is from Ensembl. NCBI's taxonomy places the organism in Eukaryota, Metazoa, Chordata, Mammalia, Primates, Cercopithecidae.
GCUGGGUGUGGUGGCGCACGCCUGUAAUCCUAGCACUUUGGGAAGCUGAGGCGGGUGGAUCACCUGAGGUCAGGAGUUCAAGACCAGCCUGGCCAACAAGGCGAAACUCCGUCUCUA